GCGUUGGUGGUUUAGUGGUAAAAUUCAUCGUUGCCAAGAGUUGCAUCUCCUCAAGGAGCACCUCCGUGAGGAGGCCUCCCCGGAGGUCAACACCAAGUCUCGAUGAGCCCCGGGUUCGAUUCCCGGCCGACGCA
This 134-nucleotide transfer RNA is filed under the name Neofusicoccum parvum UCRNP2. It matches the Rfam family "tRNA". Rfam says of the family: Transfer RNA (tRNA) molecules are approximately 80 nucleotides in length. Their secondary structure includes four short double-helical elements and three loops (D, anti-codon, and T loops). Lineage: Eukaryota; Fungi; Ascomycota; Dothideomycetes; Botryosphaeriales; Botryosphaeriaceae. The record is from Rfam by way of RNAcentral.